AAUGCGCCAAACUCAUUUAUUAGGCCCAGCCUUGUGGGCUGAAAACUAGUGUAAAUUUGUAUAAAUUAUAGGAACCACAUAUUAUAAAUACAAAAUGACCAUUUAUCCCUUUAAGAAUUGAAAUUACUAAAAAUCCCUUAAAAAGCAAAGAACCGAGAUACAUCAGUCUGGCACGGGAUACAUAAGAACUGAUACAUCAAAGUUAAAGGCUGUUGCGAUUAAUUAGGGUUAAUUAACGUGAUUUCUGUUAUUCUUAACUGAAAUCACGUAAUUAAUGGUCAUCAGAUUGUGUAACGGAUUAGUAGGGAUACAUCACUCUGGCAAGGGAUACAUCACUCUGGCACGGGAUACAUAUUAACUGAUACAUCAUAAUUAAAAGGCUGCUGCGAUUAAUUAGGAUUAAUUAGCGUGAUUCCUGUUAUUCUUAACUGAAAUCACGUAAUUAAUGGUCAUCAGAUUGUGUAACUGAUUAGUAAAUUCAAAUUUUAAAUCAGAUUAGCUUCAUAAUUCAAAAAUAUUCGUGUAAAGGUUGAUCUGCAUACUAAGAAUUCAAAAAAAAAAGGUUUUGAAGAUAAAUAUCUCAAUUCUGCUGCGGCAUUCUGGAAUUUGGAGCUUGAGAUCGACAAUGUUACAAAGGAUAUUGAAAUACGAUACAUUGUCGAGGGAAGCUCAUGUCCGUUGAAAAUCAAAAACGACAUGGGUGUGAAACUUUGUUUUGAAGUGAAAAAGAAUGCAACUGGAAUUGGCAUGUAUCCGCUUUGUAUUGAUACAACUGAUAAAAUUGUUGGGGAUAUACGUAAUUUUGACUGUUCAUCAGGUGAAGUCAUAUGUGUGGAAGGUACCGAAAGAGAUACUGAAGCUCUUGCUCUGGUCGAGUCUAGAAUUUGUGACUUUGCAGUUUAAUUAUGUGCCAAAUUUAAACUCCAAAUUUUAUAAAUAAAUAGAUUCAACAGUGGUGCGUUUUCAAUGUAACAGUAAUGAUAUAGGAGUUUGUUUGUGUAUGUGAUGUAUCAUAUACAUGAAUAUUAUUGAAAAGA
This is a long non-coding RNA of Solanum lycopersicum (tomato), 1037 nucleotides long. RefSeq lists it as uncharacterized. The record is from RefSeq and is a predicted model, not a curated record. NCBI's taxonomy places the organism in Eukaryota, Viridiplantae, Streptophyta, Magnoliopsida, Solanales, Solanaceae.